Long non-coding RNA from Vitis vinifera (wine grape), 878 nucleotides. RefSeq lists it as uncharacterized. The record is from RefSeq and is a predicted model, not a curated record. Lineage: Eukaryota; Viridiplantae; Streptophyta; Magnoliopsida; Vitales; Vitaceae. The transcript is spliced from 2 exons.
UGAAUUGUAACUCAACUUGACCAAACCCGCCCACUGCAACUUGGAAGUGGCUUUCCCGUGAAGUUGCUUUGGAACAAAGCUAUCCUAUAGUCUUUAGUUGACAAUGCCUCACUAACAAUUUGCUUUUAAUUCGUGGAUGCUCUCUGAAAGUGUCCCAAAGAUUCCCCACUAAAACUACUUUAAUUGGCUGUUUCUAAGAGUUUGAUACAGAAAUUCUCUUCUAAAAAUACUAAGUUGGCCAAGUCCAGAGGCAGGGUUCAAGCAGUUCUGUACCCUGAUAUUAAGAAAAGAUGAUUUGAAGAAGACGAUAUUUCGAUAUUGAAUUGUUCUACACUUGCAGCAUGGUUCUCUAUCAAAAGGGCUGAAGGAACUGUAAAUCUGGGGAUCCUGAGAUGAUUUUAACCCUUUUAUAUGUGUCCUAACAUCAAUUGAUGAGCCAGAUCACAAAGGAUGACAAUAAUGUAAUCACCAUAAGAACCAAUACCUGUCUCAAGCCACCGCUGACACUGCCUCCAGUCAAAAGCAUCGAAAUGAGAGAUGUCACAGCACCACCACCACCACCACCACCAACGCCAUUUCCUGCACUUCGGAUGGCAGAGCGCAUUGCAUUUAGGACGCUUCCAUAUGUAGCUGCGUGCCCCCGCUCAAUUGCUUGGAUGAAACAGAAAGUCAUAGCACCAGUUGAUGUAAUUUGUGAUAAUGCCUGUUCCCAAAGAAAUCAGUAUACACAUAUUUAGCUUUUUGGUCUGAGGUCUUGAAACAAUUGGGAAAAUAAGAUAUAUAAGGACUAUGUCUAAUCAGUCAUUCCGAAACUUACAGAUGUAUCAGCAGAUGUUUGAUCAUCAUCACAACCACUAAAGGAAAUGACUUCUCCACCA